Molecule: microRNA precursor, 99 nt
Filed under: Pteropus vampyrus (large flying fox)
Lineage: Eukaryota; Metazoa; Chordata; Mammalia; Chiroptera; Pteropodidae
Description: miRNA (ENSPVAG00000026699.1)
Source: RNAcentral
AAAUGCAGACCCUCAGGUUCCUCCCCUAGAAAGUCAGCAAACCAGGGGUGGAGCCCAGGAAUCUGCAUUUCAGCAAAUACUGUAGGCGAUUUUGAUGCA